ACAAAAGACACUCCACCCCAAACAACAUAAUUAACAAGAAAAAGAAAAGAAAGAAGAAAUAUCUUGCUUAAUGGAAUGAGGAAAUGGCCACAGCUGUGACAGUAACCGUGAUGACUAUUUGCCAAGCUGAGUGACGAUGGAUGGACGAAGACCAUUAGGAGAAGCUGUAUCUUCAGCUCUUAAGCAAUGUAGCUGCAAUCAAAGCUUUGACCAAUGGCCAUUUUCUUGGAAAGGCAAAAUGUAGGAGCAUGAGCUGAUCUGGGGGAGAGACCAUCCAACGACUCAAUUCUGUGGAGCCCCCGUUUCAGCCACAAAACAUCAGGAAGACAGGGAGGGGGGACAUCCAAACAUACAGAUAGAUGGACAGACAGCUUUCAGAUCCAAUUAGACUUCCUGGUUUUAUGUCAUACUGGACGUGCCUACAUGUAGCAAGAAAACACAGCCCUAGCCUUACUGGAAACAAGAAGUACUUAAAGGUUCAUGAAAAUGUGAGUCUUAUUGUGAAAUUUCUAAUGCUGUUGCACAAAUUUAACAGUUUCUCAUCCAAACUUCCCCCUGUUGUUUCAUGUAGUCUACCUGGGAAAACCAGGCCCAGGCAUGCUUUUUAUUUAACUUAAUGACAAGAAGUUAAGAGGGAAUGGGCAUUAGAAGAAGCUUGGAAUAAACCCCAAGGGUAACUGAAAACAUCUCAGUGUCCAGCCACAUUUUUCUCUGUCCUACUCAUACCUCCCAGGAUGAGGCUGCUGUUCUGAGAACAACCAUAUAGUUCAUAUAACUUAUUUCUGAGAUGUUCAAUAAAUGACAAUAUCUAUUUAAGUGAACACAUAUAUAUUAGAGGGUCGACUCUUUCCCUUGGACCAUACAUAUUAUUUACCUGAUAAGAUUCAGAAGUAAUCAUGAUUACCACAGUCUCUAAUUUGGUAGCAAAUAGACUUUCCUUGAACUCUGAGCAUAGGUAUCUAUGUACCAAAAUAAAAAUUAACUUGUUAACAUCCUAGAUUACCAGCGGAGAAGAUAGCAUAAAGGAAAGAGAAAGUACCAUUUCCUAGGAGUCAACCAUUUUCAAUUUAAAACAAAAUACACUUAAUCCUUGAAGAACACCAGUCUGAAUUCUGCAGGUCCACUUACACAUGGGUUUAAAAAUUUUUUCGAUAAACAUAGCAUAGUACUGUAAAUGUAUUUUCUCCUUUAGAUUUCCUAAUGACAUUUCCUUUUCUCUAGUUUACUUUACUGCAAGAAUAUGGUAUAUAAUACAUAUAACAUACAAAAUAUGUGCUCCUCAAGUACACUCUCGGUAAGGGUGUAGGUCAAUGGGAGGAUAUUAGUAGCUAAGUUUUAGGGGAGUCAAAAGCUGUACACAAUUGUUUUUAUUGUUUUGGAGGAGUUCAACUCACCCCUGUGCUUUUCAAGUGUCAACUGUGAUCACUUUUUACCUUUUUACUCAGCCCCAAUCACAUAUUUCAUAUCCUCUGAAAUCUCAAGCUUUAAUGCCUAAAAUCCUUAAUAGUUAACAGAAAAAGACAUUAGCUGCAUCUACACAUUUACAACCAGACUGAGUGCGUUAGACUUUUGUAAUAAGUCACAUACAGUUAAAAAAAAAUGUGUCUUUAAGUUGAUAGGACAAUAUACAUGGGAUUUUCCCUUCAGGGAUGAGUUGUGUAGACACACUGUUAUUAUAUAACUCUACAUCUUCCAAGUCACUCUUCUUCCUUAGAAAGCAUCAGUACCUCCAGUUUAUCUGCUGCUUGUGGCCUCUUUUACCAUUAAAAGCAUAGAGACUAGCUUCCAAGAAGAGUAAUAGGACAGAGCUGCAAUGCAGGUAUCUAUUCUGGCUGUCUUGCAUUGCCUCUUACAAAACAACUAUAUUUAGGGAAUGAUUUCAGCAGUUUUAGACUCUAAGUUUGGUGGAUAAAUACAAUUUAAAUGUCCUCACAAUUCUUCAUAUCAGCAAAAAGAGAACACAGAUCUGAGUUAUGCUAUAAUUAAAAUAACAAAAACAAUGUAUCUAUGUGUGUG
RNAcentral lists this long non-coding RNA (2016 nucleotides) under Suricata suricatta (meerkat). RNAcentral describes it as "lncRNA (ENSSSUG00005019602.1)". Lineage: Eukaryota; Metazoa; Chordata; Mammalia; Carnivora; Herpestidae. The record is from RNAcentral.